AGUAGUUUGAUCCUGGCUCGAAGGACACGGCUGGCGGCACGCUUAACACAUGCAAGUCGAACGGACUUGAGAGGGCUUGCUCUCUUAAGUUAGUGGCGGACGGGUGAGUAACACGUGAGCAACCUGCCUUUAAGAGUGGGAUAACGGUCGGAAACGACCGCUAAUACCGCAUAACAUACACGAACCGCAUGGUUUGUGUAUCAAAGAUUUAUCGCUUAAAGAUGGGCUCGCGUCUGAUUAGCUUGUUGGUGAGGUAACGGCUCACCAAGGCGACGAUCAGUAGCCGUACUGAGAGGUAGAACGGCCACAUUGGGACUGAGACACGGCCCAGACUCCUACGGGAGGCAGCAGUGGGGAAUAUUGCACAAUGGAGGAAACUCUGAUGCGGCGAUGCCGCGUGAGGGAAGAAGGUUUUCGGAUUGUAAACCUCUGUCUUAAGGGACGAUAAUGACGGUACCUUAGGAGGAAGCUCCGGCUAACUACGUG
This 486-nucleotide ribosomal RNA is filed under the name uncultured Oscillospiraceae bacterium. RNAcentral's name for it is "bacterial SSU rRNA". It matches the Rfam family "Bacterial small subunit ribosomal RNA", at positions 1 to 507 of the family's 1533-position model. Lineage: Bacteria; Bacillati; Bacillota; Clostridia; Eubacteriales; Oscillospiraceae. The record is from RNAcentral.